RNAcentral lists this long non-coding RNA (807 nucleotides) under Solanum tuberosum (potato). Its description in RNAcentral is "long non-coding RNA (STUB_LNC006482)". The record is from RNAcentral. Lineage: Eukaryota; Viridiplantae; Streptophyta; Magnoliopsida; Solanales; Solanaceae.
AAUCGACACAAUUAGUAACUAUGUUUCAGUUACCAUUUUUUUCAGGCAACCCCCUCAGGUCCAGCAGUCCUUUCUGUUGUUUAUCUGACAACAUCACUGCAGGCAUACAGGGAGCCAGACAUGCUCAAUUUGGAGUACCUUUAUUGGAUCUUCACCUUAGCAACAACUUACCGUCCAGACUGUUACCACCAAGUUUCCAGCGUGUUGCAGCCAACUCACAACUUCCUAAUGUCAUCAAUAAGUACCAAAAUGACAAAGUGAUAAGGCCUGAAAAUUCUGGGGUAUUACAACUGAAAUGCAUUCCUUAUCCAUGAUUCAAACAACCAGCCGAGAAACAAAGUGAUGCAGACAACAAAAACAAUUGAAUGAGACUGAAAAGACAAAAAAAAUCUUUCUAAUACCACCUAAUACAAAUAUACAAUCUUUUCUUAUUGCUUUAACUGGUGUAACUUCAAUAUUGAAUUAACUAUAUGUUUCAGUCCCAUUUAUGGAGAAAAUUGUACCACAUCAGUCCUAACGUUCUGGAUACAAAAGGCCAAUAGAUAUAAACAUAAACAUAACAUAUAGCAGGUCAAUUGUUCAACAUAAAAUCCAUUUAAAGUCCAUUCACUUACAUGACCUCCAAAGGUCAAUCCAUUUAGAAAGAGUUCAUAAAGAAUCUGAUACGAAUGCGACAAUUGAAAGACUAAGAAUUAUAAGCUUACUUGGAACCACAUGAUUCAUCCUUUGCCUUUUUUCUUUGUUAACACAGAAACUUUGUUAUCUUUUUUUUUUUUUUUUGGCGGUGCUGAUUAAGAUGAUGACUCC